This 159-nucleotide ribosomal RNA is filed under the name Metarhizium robertsii. RNAcentral's name for it is "5.8S ribosomal RNA". It matches the Rfam family "5.8S ribosomal RNA". Rfam says of the family: 5.8S ribosomal RNA (5.8S rRNA) is a component of the large subunit of the eukaryotic ribosome. It is transcribed by RNA polymerase I as part of the 45S precursor that also contains 18S and 28S rRNA. The record is from RNAcentral. Lineage: Eukaryota; Fungi; Ascomycota; Sordariomycetes; Hypocreales; Clavicipitaceae.
CAACGGAUCUCUUGGUUCUGGCAUCGAUGAAGAACGCAGCGAAAUGCGAUAAGUAAUGUGAAUUGCAGAAUUCAGUGAAUCAUCGAAUCUUUGAACGCACAUUGCGCCCGUCAGUAUUCUGGCGGGCAUGCCUGUUCGAGCGUCAUUACGCCCCUCAAG